AUUUAAAUAGUUUAUUAAAAAUAUUGAUCUGUGGAGUCAAAGAUAUAUUAUUUAUAAUAUUUUAGAUA
This 68-nucleotide transfer RNA is filed under the name Euoniticellus fulvus. RNAcentral's name for it is "tRNA-His". Lineage: Eukaryota; Metazoa; Arthropoda; Insecta; Coleoptera; Scarabaeidae. The record is from RNAcentral.